Molecule: ribosomal RNA, 304 nt
Filed under: uncultured bacterium
Lineage: Bacteria
Description: bacterial SSU rRNA
Rfam family: Bacterial small subunit ribosomal RNA
Source: RNAcentral
GUCUGAGUGAAGGUGAGGAAAGUGGCGGACGGGUGAGUAACGCGUGAGCAAUCUGCCUUGGAGUGGGGAAUAACGGCUGGAAACAGCCGCUAAUACCGCAUGAUGUGUCUGUCUCGCAUGGGGUGGACACCAAAGAUUUAUCGCUCUGAGAUGAGCUCGCGUCUGAUUAGCUAGUUGGCGGGGUAACGGCCCACCAAGGCGACGAUCAGUAGCCGGACUGAGAGGUUGGCCGGCCACAUUGGGACUGAGACACGGCCCAGACUCCUACGGGAGGCAGCAGUGGGGAAUAUUGGGCAAUGGGCGC